Trichobilharzia regenti is the source of this 45-nucleotide non-coding RNA. The record is from Rfam. Lineage: Eukaryota; Metazoa; Platyhelminthes; Trematoda; Strigeidida; Schistosomatidae.
AUCCAGAUGACGAGUCCCAAAUAGGACGAAAGGUGCAUCCUGGAU